Molecule: long non-coding RNA, 396 nt
Organism: Mytilus californianus (California mussel)
Lineage: Eukaryota; Metazoa; Mollusca; Bivalvia; Mytilida; Mytilidae
Exons: 4
Source: RefSeq, a predicted model, not a curated record
AUAAAUGGUGUUUACAAACGGACUUUAUAUAUAUAGCUUUUAAAGAUGAAGUGGUACACUUGGUGGGUACUAGUUGCGUGUUGCAUAGCAGUAAAUAGCACACAGAAAAUUGCCAUCGAAGCAGAUAUUGUAGGGUUUAUUGAAAGAGACCGCCCAGAAGGAUAUCCUGUCCACGAAAAGAGUACAGUUGCACCGAGGGAAUAUACUUAUCCAGAUAUUCUUCAUUUGCUGGGAGAUUUUUACAAAGGAAGAUCUUUGGACAAACAGGAGGAUAUUGCUUGAAAUUACAUGGAAACCUUAUGGUUUAAUGAAUUCAAUUUAAGCCUUGAAAUUUUGUUAUUAUAUAAGCAUGUGGAUAAAUGAGCAUGCUUUAAAGCAGAAUAAUAUUUUUCAUUG